Molecule: long non-coding RNA, 351 nt
Organism: Leptonychotes weddellii (Weddell seal)
Lineage: Eukaryota; Metazoa; Chordata; Mammalia; Carnivora; Phocidae
Source: RefSeq, a predicted model, not a curated record
UUCAGAAGCUCUGUGUGUCCGUCUCCAGCAGCCCACUUUUGGAGAAGAGCAAUGUCCCGAAGGUUACAAUGUCGAUACAAACACAGGAGUUGCUAACUAAUCCCGUGCGCAUUUCCAGACUCAACAGUCAGCCCCUAAGGAGCUGGUCCAAAGGGGCUCUCACACUGACAGUGUUCCCUGCGCUGGGGAAGUCUGCCUCGCCGCACGCCUCUCUCGGCCCUGGUAUUGGCUAGCUUCCGGAUUUUUGGCUCACCUGAUGGGCGCACAUAGUUGGAUGUUUUAAUGUGAGGCUGCGCAGCUUUUCUACUGCUGGCCAGCCAUUUGGAAAUGAAUCCUUCCUCCUGAGACAAU